Molecule: unclassified non-coding RNA, 201 nt
Filed under: Hevea brasiliensis (rubber tree)
Lineage: Eukaryota; Viridiplantae; Streptophyta; Magnoliopsida; Malpighiales; Euphorbiaceae
Source: RNAcentral
GUGUAUUUCCUGUUUGAUAGUGUGCAUGCCUGACAAAGAAUCAGUGUGAUGUAGAUGAAUAGGUCAGCAAAUUGUACUCUAAAGAAAUCUGGUAUUACAAAUAAACCCAUGAUCAAAACUAUCUCACAAAUCUUGCUUAAAUGAGCACCAAUCCAGUAAAUACCAAGCUGAAUAAAUGCAUAAACCCAGCACGCUAAAUUC